This 685-nucleotide long non-coding RNA is filed under the name Homo sapiens (human). RNAcentral describes it as "HSALNT0055655". Lineage: Eukaryota; Metazoa; Chordata; Mammalia; Primates; Hominidae. The record is from RNAcentral.
GUCUGACUAAAUUUAUUUAUAAGGGAACCCCAUUUUAUGCUGUCUUGGCAAGACAAAGAAAAUCCAAGUUGUGCAUGGCAGUAAAGGGGAGCCUGGAAGCAUCUCUGGCAGUUCCUUUCUUUCCCAAUUCUGAAGUGGGAAAAAGUGAGAAAGAAGAGAAAGUGGAAGUAAUGAUGAAACAAAUGUGCAAAGACUGACCCUUACUGAUGUGCAUCAAUGAAAGGAGGACAAAGCAGGCUUCUACCUCCUCUUCUUUUUGUAUUUUCUUUCCUCUCUUCUCAGUUUUUCCUAUUUCUAUUUUUCUUUCUCUUCAUAAGCUUUCUUCUCAGUUUUUACACUCCCACAUUACAUUUCAUCUUGGUCUUUGUUUUUCUUCCAAUCCUGUAAUUUAUUUGGUACCCAGGGGAUAUAUCUCAGGAAAUCUGUUACCCUAUGUCUCUUUGCUGUCUAGUUAUUUGACAAUGUUUCCUUCUCUAAUAAAGUUUUCUCCUUCUUUAUGUUCCCUCUCAUAUGUUAUCCCUUCAUUAUAUUAAGAUACUCAAAGAAAGGAAAAUGCCUUGGCUGUCUUUUCCACCAACCAAGCUGGAUGUAAUUCCACUGUUUGCUGAGAAAAGAAUUGCGUGUGACUCACAGGGUUUAUCUUUGUCCGGACGCUCUGUUCAUCACGGGUUAUGUUGUUUGGCUG